Olea europaea var. sylvestris is the source of this 1492-nucleotide RNA transcript. It is a transcript of the gene named protein FLX-like 3, with no coding region annotated. NCBI's taxonomy places the organism in Eukaryota, Viridiplantae, Streptophyta, Magnoliopsida, Lamiales, Oleaceae. The transcript is spliced from 6 exons. The record is from RefSeq and is a predicted model, not a curated record.
UUCCAUUUUCGGCUCUUUUUAGGUCGGGAAAAAUGAGUAAAAAACAAGUUUAAAAACUCCAGGGCUAUAAACCUAACGCCACCGUUCUUCAAUUCUCAUUCUCCCCGUUCUCCCGGGAAGCAUAAAAUAUUUCUUCAGAGAUGGCUGGAAGAAAUCGCAUUCCUCGUGAAGCUUUAGAUCACCGACACGUUUACCCUCAGGGGACCCCUGUUGUUCGGGGUCCUUUGCCCCGUGUCAUGCCUCACCCUGCCCUAUUAGAGGAAGAGCUUGAAAUGCGACAUGUUGAAAUUCGCCGUCUUUUGGGCGAAAACCGGAGACUGAUAGAAGAUCGGGUAUCUCUGGAGCAAGAAUUAAAUGCUGCUAAGGAGGAGCUUCGUCACAUGAAUCUUGCCAUUUCUGAUAUUCGUGCUGAGCAAGAUGUGCAUUCAAGGGAGCUUAUUAAAAGGGGUUUGAAGAUGGAAGCCGAUCUUCGUGCAACUGAGCCUCUGAAAAAUGAGGCCAUGCAACUUAAAGCUGAAAUUCAGAGGCUUAGCACCAUUAGGCAGGAUUUAUCUGUGCAGAUUCAGACUCUCAGGCAAGAUCUUGCAAAGUUGCAGGCUGAUAACCAGCAAAUUCCGCUUUUGAGGGCAGAGAUUGAUGGACUGCAUCAGGAGCUUCUGCGUGCUAGAGCUGCUGUUGAAUAUGAAAAGAAUGCGAAGAUUGAGCUGAUGGAGCAAAGGCAGGCAAUGGAGAAGAAUUUGCUGACCAUGGCACGUGAAAUUGAAAAGCUGCGUUCAGAUCUUGCUAAUUCUGAUGGUAGAGCAAAGGGCGCAGGUGGACCUCUUAGGAUGAAGUUUACCAGCUCCGACCGCAGCUUCCAUACACCAUAUGGUGAUGGAUAUCGGAAUCCUGUGGGCGCUGCUGACAAGGGUAAUCUAUAUGGUUCCAGUUCUGCUUCUUGGGGAGGCUUUGAUAAAUCUCGGAUGACUCGCCGCUAAGAUAUUGAUGGCUUUAUGAACUUCAUGAGCUCGCACUUUGCUAGUCUUCUUUCUCUGCUUCCAAAUGAAGGAAAUGCGAAAGAAUGUGUGAUUCAUGAAUUUAUGCAGAACUGGUAAGCUCCUUUAUCCGAAAUUUCAUUGCGAGGUAAAGUAAAAAUAUUCAGGUAGCUUCUUAUUUUGUUGAAUAUUGAAUCUAAAAAUUUUUCUUGAUAAUACGCGAAAAGGAAAAUAGAUGAUUAUGUCAAGGUACAAGGUUCAUUGUGGUUCUCGGUCAAAGGUAAUUUGAAGCUUUAUUUUGUCAAGCUUUUAUCCUCGGGCUUCAAUUUAUCCUGUGAUCUAAUCUGGGUAAGGUUAAAUUAUAGAAAUUUUUUCAUCUGAUUGUAGGAAAGGUGUUAACCCUUGGGAAAAUGAUAAUUGUUUAGGCUGGUGAUGGGAACUAAACAUGUUAUGUUUUUUACGCAAUAUUAGACAGGGUGGAAUAGUGUUGUGAUAUCAAAAUUUUAGUUUCUUUUUUC